This 73-nucleotide transfer RNA is filed under the name Chrysemys picta bellii (western painted turtle). Its description in RNAcentral is "tRNA-Ile (TAT) (tRNA-Ile-TAT-7-1)". It matches the Rfam family "tRNA". Rfam says of the family: Transfer RNA (tRNA) molecules are approximately 80 nucleotides in length. Their secondary structure includes four short double-helical elements and three loops (D, anti-codon, and T loops). Lineage: Eukaryota; Metazoa; Chordata; Testudines; Emydidae. The record is from RNAcentral.
GCUCCAGUAGCACAACUGUUAGUGCACAGUACUUAUAAUGCUGGGGUUGUGAGUUCAAGUCUCACCUGGAGCA